This 264-nucleotide ribosomal RNA is filed under the name Triticum aestivum (bread wheat). RNAcentral describes it as "partial small subunit ribosomal RNA". Lineage: Eukaryota; Viridiplantae; Streptophyta; Magnoliopsida; Poales; Poaceae. The record is from RNAcentral.
AUGGCUUCAUCCGGUUCCAUGACGAGGCCACUGUGUGCUAACCAAGAAGACAUGCCGAACAAGUGGGAGGAUGCAUCUUUGGACAAGGUGAAGGAGAAAGAUGUCGACAUCCUGCCAUGUUGGUGUGAAGAUAUUUGCAAGGUGAAGGUGUCCACCGACCGAAAGAAGUCAUGGACGGAAGGGAGGAGAUAUUUUGUAUACCCGAACUAUGCUUAUGAUCGUGUGCUUCCAACUAACGCCUAUGACCAACCACCGGUAAGCUAG